GAAUGAACCGGCGAGUUACGAUUUGAUGCAAGGUUAAGCAGUAAAUGUGGAGCCGUAGCGAAAGCGAGUCUGAAUAGGGCGUUUAGUAUUUGGUCGUAGACCCGAAACCAGGUGAUCUACCCUUGGUCAGGUUGAAGUUCAGGUAACACUGAAUGGAGGACCGAACCGACUUACGUUGAAAAGUGAGCGGAUGAACUGAGGGUAGCGGAGAAAUUCCAAUCGAACCUGGAGAUAGCUGGUUCUCUCCGAAAUAGCUUUAGGGCUAGCCUCAAGUGAUGAUUAUUGGAGGUAGAGCACUGUUUGGACGAGGGGCCCCUCUCGGGUUACCGAAUUCAGACAAACUCCGAAUGCCAAUUAAUUUAACUUGGGAGUCAGAACAUGGGUGAUAAGGUCCGUGUUCGAAAGGGAAACAGCCCAGACCACCAGCUAAGGUCCCAAAAUAUAUGUUAAGUGGAAAAGGAUGUGGCGUUGCCCAGACAACUAGGAUGUUGGCUUAGAAGCAGCCAUCAUUUAAAGAGUGCGUAAUAGCUCACUAGUCGAGUGACACUGCGCCGAAAAUGUACCGGGGCUAAACAUAUUACCGAAGCUGUGGAUUGUCCUUUGGACAAUG
RNAcentral lists this ribosomal RNA (610 nucleotides) under Staphylococcus aureus. Its description in RNAcentral is "partial 23S ribosomal RNA". It matches the Rfam family "Bacterial large subunit ribosomal RNA", at positions 613 to 1227 of the family's 2925-position model. Lineage: Bacteria; Bacillati; Bacillota; Bacilli; Caryophanales; Staphylococcaceae. The record is from RNAcentral.